This 1116-nucleotide long non-coding RNA is filed under the name Piliocolobus tephrosceles (Ugandan red Colobus). Its description in RNAcentral is "lncRNA (ENSPTEG00000016114.1)". Lineage: Eukaryota; Metazoa; Chordata; Mammalia; Primates; Cercopithecidae. The record is from RNAcentral.
AUGAGCUCAUUCGAAAGUGUAGAAAUAAAAUACGAUAAUAAAUUGAAUGAUACAAAUGACAAUACAGAAAACAUAAUAAAUAUAAACGGUAAAAGUAAUAUAAUAAAAAAGGAAGUAAAAACAGAGGAAGAAAUUAAAGUAUAUGAUGAAAAUAAUAUAAGUGGAAAUAAAGAGAUAAAAACUAAUGAGGAAGAAGAAAAACAAAAAGAAAAAAAAGCAUCAAUACACGAUGAUGAUGUAAAUACAAAUCAUAUCAUUGAAAUAUUAUACAGGGAGGAACCAGAAGUGUUAGCAAAGAUUUAUGGAUUAAUGAAAGCUAACAAAUGGUUAUAUUCGUACCCUCUUCUCACUCCUUAUCACAAUAUUGAAAAAAUUGUAGAUUUAUUAAUUGAAGAAAAUUAUGAAUAUGAAAAUACAUGGUGUGUUCAUUGUAAUGCACAUUUUAUUUGUCGGUUAUUAUAUGAAGGUUUUAUACCAGUUGCUAGUAAGCAACAAGCAUACAAAACUGUUAAUUAUAAAACACAAAUAUAUAAUGAACGUUUAUUAAUACCCAAAAUACAUUAUAUUAGAUCUUGUAUGCAUCCUAGUGAAAUUCAUAUAUCAAAUAAAGUAAAAAAAAAAUGUAAAAAUUAUUAUAUAACUGUAGAUAAAGAUUUUGAUGGAGUACUUGCAGGUAUAGUAGAAAAACAUGGUACUAAUUGGUUAUAUCCAUUUGUACAAACAGAAUUUAAAAAAAUAUUUAAUAAAACAGUUACAUAUAAAAAUAUUCAAAUGCAUUCAGUAGAAUUAUGGUUUGAAAAUAAAUUAGUUGCAGGAGAAAUUGGAAAUACAUCAGGAUCGGUUUAUACAAGUUUAACUGGAUUUCAAAGAAAAAGUUCUUCUGGUACUAUACAAUUAUGUGCUUUAGCAAAAUUGUUAGAAUACCAAAAAUUCCAAUUAUGGGAUUUGGGUAUGUUAUUACCAUAUAAAAAAGAAAUUGGGUCCAAAGAGAUACCAAUGAAAGAAUUUUUUAUUAAACACAGAAAAUUUAAACAUCAACCAGCUGAGUUUAAAGUUCCUUUUAAGGAUAAACUAAACUGCAGUGUUCUGAUAAGAGGAACCAGUGUUGAGGAUUAG